RNAcentral lists this ribosomal RNA (734 nucleotides) under uncultured bacterium. Its description in RNAcentral is "bacterial SSU rRNA". It matches the Rfam family "Bacterial small subunit ribosomal RNA", at positions 771 to 1501 of the family's 1533-position model. The record is from RNAcentral.
AACAGGAUUAGAUACCCUGGUAGUCCACGCCCUAAACGAUGCAUAUUUGGUGUGGGCCAUUCAUUUGGUCCGUGCCGGAGCUAACGCGUUAAAUAUGCCGCCUGGGGAGUACAGUCGCAAGGCUGAAACUCAAAGGAAUUGACGGGGGCCCGCACAAGCGGUGGAGCAUGUGGCUCAAUUCGACGCAACGCGAAGAACCUUACCUGGGCUCGAAAUGCUUAAGACCAUCUUUGGAAACAGAGACUUCCCGCAAGGGACUUGAGUAUAGGUGCUGCAUGGCUGUCGUCAGCUCGUGUCGUGAGAUGUUGGGUUAAGUCCCGCAACGAGCGCAACCCUUGUCCUGUGUUGCCAUACUGUAAAAAGUGGAACUCGCAGGAGACCGCCAGGGAUAACCUGGAGGAAGGUGGGGAUGACGUCAAGUCCUCAUGGCCUUUAUGUCCAGGGCUACACACGUGCUACAAUGGACGGUACAAAGCGCUGCCAACCCGCAAGGGGGAGCCAAUCGCAAAAAACCGUUCUCAGUUCGGAUUGCAGGCUGCAACUCGCCUGCAUGAAGCUGGAAUCGCUAGUAAUGCCGUAUCAGAACGAUGGCGUGAAUACGUUCCCGGGCCUUGUACACACCGCCCGUCACAUCACGAAAGUGGAUUGUACUAGAAGUCUGCAGGCUGACCCGCAAGGGAGGCAGCGGCCCAAGGUAUGAUUCAUGAUUGGGGUGAAGUCGUAACAAGGUAACC